GGAAGGCGUGGGCUAUAGCACACGAAAAUAUGGGAAUCGGGCGGAGUUCUAGUUUUUUGGCCGAAAAACGCAAAAAAUGAGGAACGAUCAUGGCGGGGCAGUGACUAUGGUUCCUUAGGUCGUAUUUGAUUGCCCGGAAAAAUUUUAGGCAAUCGGGGUCCGGGAGUCCUGGGACCACUCGGAAGGCGUGGGCUAUAGCACACGAAAAUAUGGGAAUCGCGCGGAAUUCUAGUUUUUUGGCCGAAAAACGCAAAACAUGAGGAACGAUCAUGGCGGGGCAAUGACUAUGGUUCCUUAGGUCGUAUUUGAUGGCCUAGAAAAAUUUUAGGCGAUCGGGGUCCGGGAUUCCCGGGACCACUUGGAAGGCAUGGGUAUAGCACACGAAAAUAUGGAAAUCUGGC
This 401-nucleotide long non-coding RNA is filed under the name Nicotiana tabacum (common tobacco). RNAcentral describes it as "long non-coding RNA (NTAB_LNC007156)". The record is from RNAcentral. Lineage: Eukaryota; Viridiplantae; Streptophyta; Magnoliopsida; Solanales; Solanaceae.